RNAcentral lists this ribosomal RNA (164 nucleotides) under Oryza malampuzhaensis. RNAcentral's name for it is "5.8S ribosomal RNA". It matches the Rfam family "5.8S ribosomal RNA". From Rfam's summary of the family: 5.8S ribosomal RNA (5.8S rRNA) is a component of the large subunit of the eukaryotic ribosome. It is transcribed by RNA polymerase I as part of the 45S precursor that also contains 18S and 28S rRNA. Functionally, it is thought that 5.8S rRNA may be involved in ribosome translocation. The record is from RNAcentral. Lineage: Eukaryota; Viridiplantae; Streptophyta; Magnoliopsida; Poales; Poaceae.
CACACGACUCUCGGCAACGGAUAUCUCGGCUCUCGCAUCGAUGAAGAACGUAGCGAAAUGCGAUACCUGGUGUGAAUUGCAGAAUCCCGUGAACCACCGAGUCUUUGAACGCAAGUUGCGCCCGAGGCCAUCCGGCCGAGGGCACGCCUGCCUGGGCGUCACGC